AGAGUUUGAUCCUGGCUCAGAGCGAACGCUGGCGGCAGGCCUAACACAUGCAAGUCGAACGGUAACAGCGCUAGCUUGCUAGCGACUGACGAGUGGCGGACGGGUGAGUAACACGUGGGAACGUGCCUGUUAGGUUCGGAAUAACUCAGGGAAACUUGUGCUAAUACCGAAUGUGCCCUUCGGGGGAAAGCGGGGGAUCUUCGGACCUCGCGCUAUUAGAGCGGCCCGCGUCUGAUUAGCUAGUUGGUGAGGUAAAGGCUCACCAAGGCGACGAUCAGUAGCUGGUCUGAGAGGAUGAUCAGCCACAUUGGGACUGAGACACGGCCCAAACUCCUACGGGAGGCAGCAGUGGGGAAUCUUGCGCAAUGGGCGAAAGCCUGACGCAGCCAUGCCGCGUGUGUGAAGAAGGCCUUCGGGUUGUAAAGCACCUUCAGUGGUGAGGAAAAGGUGUUCUUAAUACCGGAUAUCUGUGACGUUAGCCACAGAAGAAGCACCGGCUAACUCCGUGCCAGCAGCCGCGGUAAUACGGAGGGUGCGAGCGUUAAUCGGAAUAACUGGGCGUAAAGCGCGCGUAGGUGGUUGAGUCAGUCAGAUGUGAAAGCCCCGGGCUUAACCUGGGAACUGCACCUGAUACUGUUGAGCUAGAGUACGGUAGAGGGCAGUGGAAUUUCCUGUGUAGCGGUGAAAUGCGUAGAUAUAGGAAGGAACACCAGUGGCGAAGGCGACUGCCUGGACUGAUACUGACACUGAGGUGCGAAAGCGUGGGUAGCGAACAGGAUUAGAUACCCUGGUAGUCCACGCCCUAAACGAUGUUCACUCGAUGUUGGCACAAGAUCGUCAGCGUCCAAGCGAAAGCGUUAAGUGAACCACCUGGGGAGUACGAUCGCAAGAUUGAAACUCAAAGGAAUUGACGGGGGUCCGCACAAGCGGUGGAACAUGUGGUUUAAUUCGAUGAUACGCGAGGAACCUUACCUGGGCUAGAAUGCGAGUGCGAUUCUCUGAAAGCGGAAGUUCCUUCGGGACACAAAGCAAGGUGCUGCAUGGCUGUCGUCAGCUCGUGCCGUGAGGUGUUGGGUUAAGUCCCGCAACGAGCGCAACCCCUAACUUUAGUUGCCAGCACAUAAUGGUGGGGACUCUAAAGUGACUGCCGGCGCAAGCCGCGAGGAAGGUGGGGAUGACGUCAAGUCAUCAUGGCCUUUAUGCCCAGGGCUACACACGUGCUACAAUGGCGCAUACAACGGGUAGCGAAGCCGCGAGGUGGAGCCAAUCCCCCAAAGUGCGUCCCAGUUCGGAUUGGAGUCUGGAACUCGACUCCAUGAAGGUGGAAUCGCUAGUAAUCGCGCAUCAGCCAUGGCGCGGUGAAUACGUUCCCGGACCUUGUACACACUGCCCGUCAAGCCAUGGAAGCUGGGGGUGCCUGAAGAUGGUGACUUUACGGGGAGCUAUCUAAGGUAAAACUAGUAACUAGGGCUAAGUCGUAACAAGGUAGCCGUA
RNAcentral lists this ribosomal RNA (1494 nucleotides) under uncultured bacterium. Its description in RNAcentral is "partial 16S ribosomal RNA". It matches the Rfam family "Bacterial small subunit ribosomal RNA". The record is from RNAcentral.